GGCCGGGCGACGCGGGGGAGAAGGGCUGGCUGCCCGCCGCUGCCAGCGCCUCAGAACAGAAAUAGUCAUAUUAUGAAGUGGUAACAGUACCAGCUGCUGUAUGGUUAUGAAGUAGAUGCCAGAAGACAAGAUGUGAUUUCAUCAGAAGUGGAUGCUGUAGUAGUACAAACAAUAUAUAAGUGGUGGCACAUUACAAACAUGGUUAUGAGUCUGUAUCAUUCACUUGUUGUUAAUGAAGAUACUUUUUUCUGAUUUGCUAGAAUUUUAAUAAGUCAUCUUUGAAAAAUCCAGACACUGUUUUGCACUCC
Molecule: long non-coding RNA, 308 nt
Filed under: Apteryx owenii (little spotted kiwi)
Lineage: Eukaryota; Metazoa; Chordata; Aves; Apterygiformes; Apterygidae
Description: lncRNA (ENSAOWG00000010781.1)
Source: RNAcentral